Molecule: ribosomal RNA, 163 nt
Filed under: Henckelia longisepala
Lineage: Eukaryota; Viridiplantae; Streptophyta; Magnoliopsida; Lamiales; Gesneriaceae
Description: 5.8S ribosomal RNA
Rfam family: 5.8S ribosomal RNA
About the family: 5.8S ribosomal RNA (5.8S rRNA) is a component of the large subunit of the eukaryotic ribosome.
Source: RNAcentral
AUAACGACUCUCGGCAACGGAUAUCUCGGCUCUCGCAUCGAUGAAGAACGUAGCGAAAUGCGAUACUUGGUGUGAAUUGCAGAAUCCCGUGAACCAUCGAGUCUUUGAACGCAAGUUGCGCCCGAAGCCAUCAGGUUGAGGGCACGUCUGCCUGGGCGUCACG